Felis catus (domestic cat) is the source of this 454-nucleotide long non-coding RNA. RefSeq lists it as uncharacterized. The record is from RefSeq and is a predicted model, not a curated record. NCBI's taxonomy places the organism in Eukaryota, Metazoa, Chordata, Mammalia, Carnivora, Felidae. The transcript has 2 exons.
UAGAGCCUUUGAAGAGUGGGAGCAAGGAAAGAAAAAGAAAGGCAACUUUUAUGAUUAAAUAAAAUCAUGAUCCGUGCAGAAUGUUUCUCAGCAUGUGGAAUAUUCACGAUACCAGACAACAACAAAGAUGCUAUUUUUGUCUUCUUGAAGAAUAAAGACCAGAAGGAAAGCCAUAGUAAUGAUGGGAGCUCCUGCACUUCUCCAGUUCUGCAAGGGGACCGAGGCUCGAAAAGGUCGGUGGCCCACGUUAGACUCCCAAGGGGCAGAACCGGUACUCAACCCGUGGCAGGACUGAGAAUUCUACAGACUGUGUGUGAAUCCCGACCCGGCCAUGCACUGGCUAAAACACCGACUUCACCUCCCUGCUCCCGUGACCUCAUCCUUAAAGAAGACAGUAAUUCCAAUUCGGGCUUGCUGUGAGGAUUAAAUAAAACAAUGCCUAUGGAGUGUCUAA